AGUCGAACGGACCUUUCGGGGUUAGUGGCGGACGGGUGAGUAACACGUGGGAACGUGCCUUUAGGUUCGGAAUAGCUCCUGGAAACGGGUGGUAAUGCCGAAUGUGCCCUUCGGGGGAAAGAUUUAUCGCCUUUAGAGCGGCCCGCGUCUGAUUAGCUAGUUGGUGAGGUAACGGCUCACCAAGGCGACGAUCAGUAGCUGGUCUGAGAGGAUGACCAGCCACACUGGGACUGAGACACGGCCCAGACUCCUACGGGAGGCAGCAGUGGGGAAUCUUGCGCAAUGGGCGAAAGCCUGACGCAGCCAUGCCGCGUGAAUGAUGAAGGUCUUAGGAUUGUAAAAUUCUUUCACCGGGGACGAUAAUGACGGUACCCGGAGAAGAAGCCCCGGCUAACUUCGUGCCAGCAGCCGCGGUAAUACGAAGGGGGCUAGCGUUGCUCGGAAUUACUGGGCGUAAAGGGCGCGUAGGCGGAUCGUUAAGUCAGAGGUGAAAUCCCAGGGCUCAACCCUGGAACUGCCUUUGAUACUGGCGAUCUUGAGUAUGAGAGAGGUAUGUGGAACUCCGAGUGUAGAGGUGAAAUUCGUAGAUAUUCGGAAGAACACCAGUGGCGAAGGCGACAUACUGGCUCAUUACUGACGCUGAGGCGCGAAAGCGUGGGGAGCAAACAGGAUUAGAUACC
RNAcentral lists this ribosomal RNA (680 nucleotides) under Brevundimonas diminuta. RNAcentral's name for it is "bacterial SSU rRNA". It matches the Rfam family "Bacterial small subunit ribosomal RNA", at positions 60 to 786 of the family's 1533-position model. The record is from RNAcentral. Lineage: Bacteria; Pseudomonadati; Pseudomonadota; Alphaproteobacteria; Caulobacterales; Caulobacteraceae.